Molecule: ribosomal RNA, 253 nt
Filed under: uncultured bacterium
Lineage: Bacteria
Description: partial 16S ribosomal RNA
Rfam family: Bacterial small subunit ribosomal RNA
Source: RNAcentral
UACGUAGGGUGCAAGCGUUGUCCGGAAUUAUUGGGCGUAAAGAGCUCGUAGGCGGUCUGUCGCGUCUGCUGUGAAAACUCAGGGCUUAACCCUGAGCUUGCAGUGGGUACGGGCAGACUAGAGUGCGGUAGGGGAGACUGGAAUUCCUGGUGCAGCGGUGAAAUGCGCAGAUAUCAGGAGGAACACCGGUGGCGAAGGCGGGUCUCUGGGCCGUAACUGACGCUGAGGAGCGAAAGCAUGGGGAGCGAACAGG